RNAcentral lists this ribosomal RNA (290 nucleotides) under uncultured Blautia sp. RNAcentral's name for it is "partial 16S ribosomal RNA". The stretch from base 52 to 290 matches the Rfam family "Bacterial small subunit ribosomal RNA", at positions 100 to 339 of the family's 1533-position model. The record is from RNAcentral. Lineage: Bacteria; Bacillati; Bacillota; Clostridia; Lachnospirales; Lachnospiraceae.
AAGCACUUUAUUUGAUUUCCUUCGGGACUGAUUAUUUUGUGACUGAGUGGCGGACGGGUGAGUAACGCGUGGGUAACCUGCCUUGUACAGGGGGAUAACAGUUGGAAACGGCUGCUAAUACCGCAUAAGCGCACAGGACCGCAUGGUCCGGUGUGAAAAACUCCGGUGGUAUAAGAUGGACCCGCGUUGGAUUAGCUGGUUGGUGGGGUAACGGCCUACCAAGGCGACGAUCCAUAGCCGGCCUGAGAGGGUGAACGGCCACAUUGGGACUGAGACACGGCCCAGACUCC